CUAGUGGCGUUUUUAAACGCCACAAAAUAUUCUUAAUAAUGAAGAA
This is a non-coding RNA of Gossypium hirsutum (cotton), 46 nucleotides long. The record is from Rfam. Lineage: Eukaryota; Viridiplantae; Streptophyta; Magnoliopsida; Malvales; Malvaceae.